GCAUCCUUGGCUUAAUGGUAAAGCAACUGCCCUGUAAGCAGUGGAUUGUGUGUUCGAAUCACACAGGAUGCUCCA
Molecule: transfer RNA, 75 nt
Filed under: Caudoviricetes sp.
Lineage: Duplodnaviria; Heunggongvirae; Uroviricota; Caudoviricetes
Description: tRNA-Thr
Rfam family: tRNA
About the family: Transfer RNA (tRNA) molecules are approximately 80 nucleotides in length.
Source: RNAcentral